GUUGCAAGGGACUAGCAGGUCCCUCGUGUGCGUGCCAAAGCUGGAUGGGCCUGGUGCAAUGAGUACAUACAUGCUCGAGGUGGAGUCCUCCGCAUCGGACGGGCGGGAUCUCAUAUUCUCUGUUUUUUGAGGGAUCUGUGGAGGCCAGGGGCUGCGCGCCUGCGACGAUCUGCGGACGGUACUAAGCCUGGUGUCGUUCCUUUGUCUCCACCGGUGCCACUUCCCUCGCCUUGUCAUAUUCACCGACCUUGGCAGGCUAUGAGCAGCAUGUACCACCAGGUCCUUCUCCCACUAUUGCUUUUGAUUUUUGCAUCCCUUUCUUUUCUGACAUUCCAAGACGUUCUUAUGGUUUCUGGACAUGCAGGUAGUACAUGUUCUAUGGAGUCUUCAUCGGUACAGACAGGGUGUCGUUAAGGAGCAUGGUUCGUGGUGAGAUGGUUGCAAAAAUGGUCUCUCCCUCUAAUGACUUCAGUGGGUACGGCCGGAUCUGCGGCAACAAAGGCACGGGGAUGAACCCUGCUUGAUGCAUGACGAGCGCCACCAGUGCUUGAGGAGUUGGAGAUGGACGAGUAGCCUAGUGUUCCGUCCGAUGUUUGUAAUUUCAAGUUUUUAGGGAUCCUUUUUGACAUGCUAUAUCCAACCAUCCGUUGGCAAGUCUACGCAGUAGCAUACAGUUGGAUUAGCUAUCGGACGAGUGUGUUCAGACGAGUUUGAUCUUUUUUUCUUCUGUACAUGUGUAUUUCCCUGAGAUUUUAUGUAAUGAUUAUUUAUUUAAUAAAUAAAGAUAUAUUUUUCUGACAAAAC
This 804-nucleotide long non-coding RNA is filed under the name Triticum aestivum (bread wheat). RNAcentral describes it as "long non-coding RNA (TAES_LNC001429)". The record is from RNAcentral. Lineage: Eukaryota; Viridiplantae; Streptophyta; Magnoliopsida; Poales; Poaceae.